AGGACGAACGCUGGCGGCGUGCUUAACACAUGCAAGUCGAGCGGAAAGGCCCUUCGGGGUACUCGAGCGGCGAACGGGUGAGUAACACGUGAGCAACCUGCCCCUGGCUCUGGGAUAGCCUCCGGAAACGGGGAUUAAUACCGGACAUGACCCUUGACCGCAUGGUUGGGGGUGGAAAGUUUUUCGGCCAGGGUGGGGCUCGCGGCCUAUCAGCUUGUUGGGGGGGUGACGGGCCCACCAAGGCGACGACGGGUAGCC
RNAcentral lists this ribosomal RNA (258 nucleotides) under uncultured bacterium. Its description in RNAcentral is "partial small subunit ribosomal RNA". It matches the Rfam family "Bacterial small subunit ribosomal RNA", at positions 26 to 288 of the family's 1533-position model. The record is from RNAcentral.